CACAACUUCUUCAGCUUCCCCAAACAGAAGCCUUGAUGGAAAUUCUACUCAGCUAAAUCAGGAUCCAUGACACAGAAAGCUUUGCACAGCAGCAAGAUGCAAGACAAAUACAAGUGAUCAUUUUGGUUCGUCUGAAUUUAUUUUGCUCGAACAAUUUCUGAAAUUGCUUUUGUGGAUUUAUAUUUCAUUUUAAUUGAGUCAAAAUGAGCAGUGUCAGUGUUAAUUAUGAGGAAUGUCAAGGCCAGUCCCUCGGAAGAUGUGAGUAGCAGUGUCCAGGAGCAGCACCGGGUGCUGUUGAAGAGUGAGUCACAUCAAUUUGAGAACUACUGGGAGAUACCACAGAGCACGAAUUCUGGAUUUUGGAGCAAGAUUGUAAUCAAAGUUCUUUAUUUGACUGGCUUUCUGAUCUUGUGGAUGUUACUUAACUUGUGCAAGCUAUUUUUUAUA
Suricata suricatta (meerkat) is the source of this 447-nucleotide long non-coding RNA. RefSeq lists it as uncharacterized. The record is from RefSeq and is a predicted model, not a curated record. NCBI's taxonomy places the organism in Eukaryota, Metazoa, Chordata, Mammalia, Carnivora, Herpestidae. The transcript is spliced from 4 exons.